RNAcentral lists this ribosomal RNA (1134 nucleotides) under Triticum aestivum (bread wheat). RNAcentral describes it as "partial small subunit ribosomal RNA". The record is from RNAcentral. Lineage: Eukaryota; Viridiplantae; Streptophyta; Magnoliopsida; Poales; Poaceae.
AUGCUCCUCAGGGUGGUGUGGCGCGAGGACGAUGCCGAUGAUGAUGCCGAGCUGGAGCCCGAGCAAAGAGGGGCGAUUAUGCUUCCUUGCUUCCAGCGAGCCACCACGGUCACACUCGAGUUCUCGUUCCUUCGCCUCGUCCUGCCGCCUUCCGGCGUAUUCGCCCGGCUCAAAGUUCUCGAGCUGGUUGGCAUCCACCUAUAUGGCCAGUGCAGUCUCGGCGACGCUCUCUCCUCCCCGCGGUGCCCAUCCUUGCAGAUUCUCAGUGUCAAGAAUGCUCGUGGUCUGGGCAACUUCACAAUUCAUUCCAAGUCCCUCCUAGAACUGCAGCUAUUGAAACUACCUGACAUGCAGCAGCUCAUUGUCGGGGCACCGUCACUCCAAAUGUUAAGCAUCAUUGGUUGCUUUACCGAUGGGCUGAAUCCAAGUCAACCAGUUGCCAACAUCUCAGCCCCUCGCCUGGAGUUGCUCUGGUGGACGUGUGAUUUUGUUCCCAGCUCUCUCCAGCUUGGGGAGAUGGCACAUCUUCGAUGUCUUGUCACUGGAAAUUUCUUUGUCCAUGGACCAAUUUCCUGUGCUCUACAAAAUCGCUGUUGCAUGAGCAUUCUGCAGCACUUUGAGCGUCUCAGUAUUCUCAAUCUCCAUAUUAUCUAUCCGCCGGUCAUUGGUAAUACGGAAUACUUGAUGGAAGAUAUGACAAGUCUUCCCGACGUUAUAAUGUUGACCCUGGAUGUAACUGCAUAUGUACAUUCAUUUGGAGCCAGCGUAUUCCAUGUUCUCAGGAUGUGCCCUUGUUUAAAAGUACUCAGUAUUGGAUUUCCUAUUAAAUCUAGCCAACUGGAGAAUGAAAGUUUUUCGUACUGGAUUUCAGCAAAGAUUUCAAUGAGAUUACAACUAGGAUUUAAAACACCAUUUCAACUACGGGCUCUUCCUUCAUUUGGAAGUGACCUCGCAGGUGGGGAUGCCUUGGCUGCCGCGAUUUCUGCGGCCACGCGGUGGACAAACACCCAUGCAUCCUUGAUGCAGGAGAAGGCCACAUUUCUGAACACCGGUGUGAGCGCUGCGUCCAUUUCUGCCUUGCAGGAUGACCUGGCCUGUGCCGUGGUGACGUGCCAUUGGAUAAUUUUGUCAUGA